UCGGCCGACAAAUGCUUGCACAAGGUAUAUCCAAACUGGACAAACUAUGAAGUUAUAUUUUGAAUUGUUGGAGAAGAUUCCUAGCAUGUGAGAAUUGUGUGGAUUGUCAAAUUACUUCACCAUGUUGACUAUCAAUUAUUCAAUCACUUCGGUGCUCUGUUUGCUCAAAAGCUCAGCUCUAAACCUCUAGAUAAUGCGAUGAUCAAAACAGUUCGUUUAGUUUCCACCAACUACUUUCAUGUAAAAUAACAUUAUCAUUUAGCCAAUAAAGAUAUAUUUUCAGCUAUUAUUUAUACAAAAUAAAAUCUCUCUUCU
RNAcentral lists this unclassified non-coding RNA (315 nucleotides) under Hevea brasiliensis (rubber tree). Lineage: Eukaryota; Viridiplantae; Streptophyta; Magnoliopsida; Malpighiales; Euphorbiaceae. The record is from RNAcentral.